RNAcentral lists this ribosomal RNA (215 nucleotides) under Glaesserella parasuis. Its description in RNAcentral is "partial 16S ribosomal RNA". It matches the Rfam family "Bacterial small subunit ribosomal RNA", at positions 1 to 214 of the family's 1533-position model. Lineage: Bacteria; Pseudomonadati; Pseudomonadota; Gammaproteobacteria; Pasteurellales; Pasteurellaceae. The record is from RNAcentral.
AAAUUGAAGAGUUUGAUCAUGGCUCAGAUUGAACGCUGGCGGCAGGCUUAACACAUGCAAGUCGAACGGUAGCAGGAAGGAAGCUUGCUUCUUUGCUGACGAGUGGCGGACGGGUGAGUAAUGCUUGGGAAUCUGGCUUAUGGAGGGGGAUAACGACGGGAAACUGUCGCUAAUACCGCGUAAUGUCUAAGGACUAGAGGGUGGGACUUUCGGGC